Molecule: ribosomal RNA, 468 nt
Filed under: uncultured bacterium
Lineage: Bacteria
Description: partial 16S ribosomal RNA
Rfam family: Bacterial small subunit ribosomal RNA
Source: RNAcentral
GACGAACGCUGGCGGCGUGCUUAACGCAUGCAAGUCGAACGGAAAGGCCCUGCUUUUGUGGGGUGCUCGAGUGGCGAACGGGUGAGUAACACGUGAGUAACCUGCCCUUGACUUUGGGAUAACUUCAGGAAACUGGGGCUAAUACCGGAUAGGAGCUCCUGCUGCAUGGUGGGGGUUGGAAAGUUUCGGCGGUUGGGGAUGGACUCGCGGCUUAUCAGCUUGUUGGUGGGGUAGUGGCUUACCAAGGCUUUGACGGGUAGCCGGCCUGAGAGGGUGACCGGCCACAUUGGGACUGAGAUACGGCCCAGACUCCUACGGGAGGCAGCAGUGGGGAAUAUUGCACAAUGGGCGGAAGCCUGAUGCAGCAACGCCGCGUGCGGGAUGACGGCCUUCGGGUCGUAAACCGCUUUCGCCUGUGACGAAGCGUGAGUGACGGUAAUGGGUAAAGAAGCACCGGCUAACUACGUG